GACGAACGCUGGCGGCGUGCUUAACACAUGCAAGUCGAACGGGUCCUUCGGGACUAGUGGCGGACGGGUGAGUAACGCGUGGGAACGUGCCCCUUGGUACGGAAUAGCCCCGGGAAACUGGGAGUAAUACCGUAUGUGGUCGAGAGACGAAAGAUUUAUCGCCAAGGGAUCGGCCCGCGUUGGAUUAGGUAGUUGGUGGGGUAAUGGCCUACCAAGCCGACGAUCCAUAGCUGGUUUGAGAGGAUGAUCAGCCACACUGGGACUGAGACACGGCCCAGACUCCUACGGGAGGCAGCAGUGGGGAAUCUUAGACAAUGGGGGAAACCCUGAUCUAGCCAUGCCGCGUGAUCGAUGAAGGCCUUAGGGUUGUAAAGAUCUUUCAGGUGGGAAGAUAAUGA
RNAcentral lists this ribosomal RNA (398 nucleotides) under uncultured Paracoccaceae bacterium. Its description in RNAcentral is "bacterial SSU rRNA". It matches the Rfam family "Bacterial small subunit ribosomal RNA", at positions 28 to 454 of the family's 1533-position model. The record is from RNAcentral. Lineage: Bacteria; Pseudomonadati; Pseudomonadota; Alphaproteobacteria; Rhodobacterales; Paracoccaceae.